This 548-nucleotide ribosomal RNA is filed under the name uncultured Glomeromycotina. RNAcentral describes it as "SSU rRNA". It matches the Rfam family "Eukaryotic small subunit ribosomal RNA", at positions 548 to 1098 of the family's 1831-position model. Lineage: Eukaryota; Fungi; Glomeromycota. The record is from RNAcentral.
UUGGAGGGCAGUCUGGUGCCAGGAGCCGCGGUAAUUCCAGCUCCAAUAGCGUACAUUAAAGUUGUUGCAGUUAAAAAGCUCGUAGUUGAAUUUCGGGGUCAGUAGGCCGGUCGUGCCACUGGUAUGAACUGGUUUUACUGAUUCCUCCCUCUUGAAGAACUGUAAUGCCAUUAAUUUGGUGUUGCAGGGAAUCAGGACUGUUACUUUGAAAAAAUUAGAGUGUUUAAAGCAGGCUUUAGCUUGAAUACAUUAGCAUGGAAUAAUGAAAUAGGACGUUUGAUCCUAUUUUGUUGGUUUCUAGGAUUGACGUAAUGAUUAAUAGGGAUAGUUGGGGGCAUUAGUAUUCAAUUGUCAGAGGUGAAAUUCUUGGAUUUAUUGAAGACUAACUACUGCGAAAGCAUUUGCCAAGGAUGUUUUCAUUAAUCAAGAACGAAAGUUAGGGGAUCGAAGACGAUCAGAUACCGUCGUAGUCUUAACCAUAAACUAUGCCGACUAGGGAUCGGAUGAUGUUAAUUAUUUAAUGACUCAUUCGGCGCCUUACGGGAAAC